This 376-nucleotide unclassified non-coding RNA is filed under the name Hevea brasiliensis (rubber tree). The record is from RNAcentral. Lineage: Eukaryota; Viridiplantae; Streptophyta; Magnoliopsida; Malpighiales; Euphorbiaceae.
CUGAUGAGGAUGGUGGAAAGAAUGAAGAGGGCUUUGUAGAAUUGAAGCCUGAGGUUGUGAACUUUCGUAGUUUACAUAAGAGAGAGGAGGAAUUGUAUUUCUACGAUACAUUUGCUUAUCCAUGGGAAAAAGAUAAACAUUACAAGAUGGUUUAUCAGUUGGAGAAGAAGUAUUUCCCUGACCAAUGCUUCGAUAAGGCAUUCAUUGAUCCUAAAGAUUCUAAUAUGAAUUCAAAUGGGAUAGCAAAGAGUAGUAGGAGUGGUAAGAGGGCAGAGAAGAGAGAUAAUGGAGUUGUAGACCAACAAGAUGAUAGAGGGUUGGUGUUCUUUGAAGAGAAGGGUGAGAUAGAGACAAAUUCAGCCAAGGACUCAAAUAA